GCUAUUUUAAGUUAAUUAGAUUGUGGAUUUUGUAGUUCUAAGGGUUUAGUAGCU
This 54-nucleotide transfer RNA is filed under the name Passalurus ambiguus. RNAcentral's name for it is "tRNA-Thr". The record is from RNAcentral. Lineage: Eukaryota; Metazoa; Nematoda; Chromadorea; Rhabditida; Oxyuridae.